GACGAACGCUGGCGGCGUGCUUAACACAUGCAAGUCGAACGGAAAGGCCUGCUUUCCCUUGUGGAUUGCGGGUACUCGAGUGGCGAACGGGUGAGUAACACGUGAGUGAUCUGCCCCCAACUUGGGUAUAAGCCUGGGAAACUGGGUCUAAUUCCCGAUAGGACUGCAGGGUGGUGCCUGUGGUGGAAAACGAUUUUCUAGUGGUUGGGGAUGAGCUCGCGGCCUAUCAGCUUGUUGGUGGGGUAAUGGCCUACCAAGGCGGGGUCGGGUAGCCGGCCUGGGAGGGUGGACGGCCACAUUGGGACUGAGACACGGCCCUGACUCCUACGGGAGGCAGCAGUGGUGAAUAUUGCACAAUGGGCGGAAGCCUGAUGCAGCGACGCCGCGUGGGGGAUGACGGCCUUCGGGUUGUAAGCUCCUUUCGACCGCGAGGAAGCCACCUGGUUGGAUGGGUGGUGACGGUAGUGGUAGAAGAAGCACCGGCUAACUACGUG
This 494-nucleotide ribosomal RNA is filed under the name uncultured bacterium. Its description in RNAcentral is "partial 16S ribosomal RNA". It matches the Rfam family "Bacterial small subunit ribosomal RNA", at positions 28 to 507 of the family's 1533-position model. The record is from RNAcentral.